GUGGGGAAUAUUGCACAAUGGGGGAAACCCUGAUGCAGCAACGCCGCGUGAGUGAUGACGGCCUUCGGGUUGUAAAGCUCUGUCUUCAGGGACGAUAAUGACGGUACCUGAGGAGGAAGCCACGGCUAACUACGUGCCAGCAGCCGCGGUAAUACGUAGGUGGCAAGCGUUGUCCGGAUUUACUGGGCGUAAAGGGAGCGUAGGUGGAUAUUUAAGUGGGAUGUGAAAUCCCCGGGCUUAACCUGGGGGCUGCAUUCCAAACUGGAUGUCUAGAGUGCAGGAGAGGAGAGUGGAAUUCCUAGUGUAGCGGUGAAAUGCGUAGAGAUUAGGAAGAACACCAGUGGCGAAGGCGACUCUCUGGACUGUAACUGACACUGAGGCUCGAAAGCGUGGGGAGCAAACAGGAUUAGAUACCCGAGUAGUCC
RNAcentral lists this ribosomal RNA (425 nucleotides) under uncultured bacterium. RNAcentral describes it as "partial 16S ribosomal RNA". It matches the Rfam family "Bacterial small subunit ribosomal RNA", at positions 354 to 796 of the family's 1533-position model. The record is from RNAcentral.